Mytilus californianus (California mussel) is the source of this 1304-nucleotide long non-coding RNA. RefSeq lists it as uncharacterized. NCBI's taxonomy places the organism in Eukaryota, Metazoa, Mollusca, Bivalvia, Mytilida, Mytilidae. The transcript has 4 exons. The record is from RefSeq and is a predicted model, not a curated record.
AAUCUGGAUUUAGAAUAUUUUUUUGUCAUCUGCUUGACCAAAAUAAAGUCAAUGCUUAAUAGAUAGAGCAAUACUUUCCCUUAUACAGUUUAAUAAAACAAAUUUAAAAUUCAGAAAUAAAAAUAAUUCAUUGAAUCAACUUUUUUAAGACUACUAUAAAAUAUGGACCUAUUCAAGUACACCUUUUAGCCAAAAUUUAGGGUGUGCUUGACUGGAUUGUAUUUUUAAAUGUUGUGUAGGACUUUUUGUAAACGAUAAAUGCUGACAUGGACAUAAUACUUGUGUACAACUGUGCAAGUAUUGAACAUCGCAGCUUGAAAUGCAAUGUGACCUUAAAGACAACAUAAUAAUGGACAGAUGUUCUCUGGUCAUUCGUACUUGUUGGCCACACACAUGGAGAUAUUGAUCCUGCUUUCAGCUAAUAUCAGAAAAAUUAAGAACAAAGGAUGCUGAAACUGUGCAGUCACUGUUCAGGAUUAUUCCAGAUGUUUAAAAAGUGAAAUUAUAAUACAAUAUAUGUUACUGGUUAAUUCCUAUGAUUAGUAAUUUUAAACAACACACAGAGACUUUGCAUUAUUGUUUUACAAGAGAGACACCAAAAGAUGCAGUCAACAUUUAUCAUUUUUAUCAAAAUACACCCAGGACAAACCAUGGAUACACUUAGCUUGAAAUAUGGUGCUUUCUUACCAAAAUUGCCUAUAUGUAAAAGAAAUGAAGAACCUAAAUUCAUGACAACAAUCAGGAGAUACCCAGAAGAACUAGUAUAAAUGGUUAAAGAUGAAAGAAUGCAGAAUAAGGCAGGAUUGAAAGGAAGAAAGAACUAGUCAUCAGUAAAGAAACAGAUCAAUUUAUAUAACAUGUAAUAAUUCCAUCUGAAUAUAACAAACAUUGCACAUGUUAUGAAGAUUUGUUCACAUGUCUACUCUGAUUUGUACCCGUAGUUAUGUAUUUGUAAUAUUAUAUAGUACAGGUAUUUUAUUUUAGAACAGUAUUUUUUUUUGCUGUGGAGAACAUCAAAGAAAUUAGAAAAAUAUAAUUAAAGAUAGUUUCUUCCAUUUUUUCUGUGACAAAAAAAAAAUUGUGCAAAUUAGGAAAAUGAAAUGAGGCUAUAUUAUUAAAUAUUUUUGAGUUUUAGUUUUUUUUUUACAUCCUAUUUUAAAAUUUCAUUGGCAUUUGAAGUAAUGAGUUGAAACCAGUUUUUAUCAAUCAUUUUUUUUCAAGAUGUACAAACAGUACAGUAGGUUAAGCUAUGGUGUACAUUAGUUUACUAUGAUGUUAAGGUCAAAUAAACUUGAAACUUUGUA